AUGGCGGCCAUGGCGUCCACCGAUCCGGCGCAGAAGCAAAAGCCGCACGCGGUGUGCGUCCCGUACCCGGCGCAGGGCCACAUCACGCCCAUGCUCAAGGUGGCCAAGCUGCUGCACGCCCGGGGCUUCCACGUCACCUUCGUCCUCACCGAGUUCAACUACGCGCGCCUCCUCAAGUCGCGCGGCACGGCCGCGUUCACCGCCUGCCCCGGCUUCGACUUCGCCGCCAUCCCGGACGGCCUGCCGCCGUCCGACCCCGACGCCACCCAGGACAUCCCCGCGCUGUGCCGCUCCACCAUGACCACCUGCCUCCCCCACCUCGGCGCCAUCCUCGCCCGCCUCAACGGCCCCGCCUCCGUCUCGCCGCCGGUCACGUGCGUCCUCUGCGACGGCGUCAUGUCGUGGGCCUACGAGGCCGCCAGGGAGAUCGGCGUGCCGUGCGCCGCGCUGUGGACGGCCAGCGCAUGCGGCUUCAUGGCGUACAACCACUACAAGCAGCUCGUCGAGGACGGGCUCGUGCCGCUCAAGGACGAGGCGCGGCUCACGGACGGGUACCUGGACACGGCCGUCGACGGCGUGCCGGGGCUGUGCGACGGCUUCCAGCUGCGCGACUUCCCGAGCUUCAUCCGCACGACGGACCGCGACGACAUCAUGCUCAACUUCCUCAUCCGCGAGUCGGCGCGUCUGACGCUGCCCGACGCCGUCAUCAUCAACUCCUUCGACGACCUCGAGAAGCCGGCGCUGGACGCCAUGCGGGCCAUCCUCCCGCCCGUCUACCCCCUCGGCCCGCUCCUCCUCCAGGUCCGCCGGCUCGUCCCCGCGGGGUCCCCCCUCGACGUCGGCGUCGGGUCCAACCUGUGGAAGGAGCAGGACGGUCUCAUCGAGUGGCUCGACGGCCGGCCGCCGCGCUCCGUCGUGUACGUGAACUACGGCAGCAUCACGGUGAUGACGAACGAGCAGAUGCUGGAGUUCGCGUGGGGGCUGGCCAACAGCGGCUACCCCUUCCUGUGGAACGUCCGGCCCGACCUCGUCAAGGGCGACGCGGCGGUGCUGCCACCGGAGUUCCAGGCCGCCAUCGAGGGCCGCGGCCUCCUCACGACGUGGUGCCCGCAGGAGGUCGUGAUCGAGCACGAGGCCGUGGGCGUGUUCCUCACGCACUCCGGGUGGAACUCCACGCUGGAGAGCCUCUGCGCCGGCGUGCCGAUGCUCAGCUGGCCCUUCUUCGCGGAGCAGCAGACCAACUGCCGGUACAAGCGCACGGAGUGGGGCGUCGGGAUGGAGAUCGGCGGCGAGGUGCGGCGGGCGGAGGUGGCGGAGAUGAUACGGGAGGCCAUGGAGGGGGACAAGGGGGAGGAGAUGCGCCACCGCGCCACGGAGUGGAAGCAGAAGGCCGCGCUGGCGACGCUGCCAGGUGGACCCUCGGAGACCAAUCUGGACGGAUUAAUUCAUGUGCUGCUGGGCAAUAAGACGGGUCAAGCCUGA
RNAcentral lists this ribosomal RNA (1482 nucleotides) under Triticum aestivum (bread wheat). RNAcentral describes it as "partial small subunit ribosomal RNA". The record is from RNAcentral. Lineage: Eukaryota; Viridiplantae; Streptophyta; Magnoliopsida; Poales; Poaceae.